AUGAACGCUGGCGGCGUGCCUAAUCCCUGCCAGUCGAGCGAACAGAUGAGGAGCUUGCUCCUCUGACGUUAGCGGCGGACGGGUGAGUAACACGUGGAUAACCUACCUAUAAGACUGGGAUAACUUCGGGAAACCGGAGCUAAUACCGGAUAAUAUAUUGAACCGCAUGGUUCAAUAGUGAAAGACGGUUUUGCUGUCACUUAUAGAUGGAUGCGCGCCGCAUUAGCUAGUUGGUAAGGUAACGGCUUACCAAGGCAACGAUGCGUAGCCGACCUGAGAGGGUGAUCGGCCACACUGGAACUGAGACACGGUCCAGACUCCUACGGGAGGCAGCAGUAGGGAAUCUUCCGCAAUGGGCGAAAGCCUGACGGAGCAACGCCGCGUGAGUGAUGAAGGUCUUCGGAUCGUAAAACUCUGUUAUUAGGGAAGAACAAAUGUGUAAGUAACUAUGCACGUCUUGACGGUACCUAAUCAGAAAGCCACGGCUAACUACGUG
This 496-nucleotide ribosomal RNA is filed under the name uncultured bacterium. Its description in RNAcentral is "partial 16S ribosomal RNA". It matches the Rfam family "Bacterial small subunit ribosomal RNA", at positions 29 to 507 of the family's 1533-position model. The record is from RNAcentral.